RNAcentral lists this ribosomal RNA (460 nucleotides) under uncultured bacterium. Its description in RNAcentral is "partial 16S ribosomal RNA". It matches the Rfam family "Bacterial small subunit ribosomal RNA", at positions 338 to 795 of the family's 1533-position model. The record is from RNAcentral.
CCUACGGGGGGCAGCAGUGAGGAAUAUUGGUCAAUGGACGAGAGUCUGAACCAGCCAAGUAGCGUGAAGGAUGACUGCCCUAUGGGUUGUAAACUUCUUUUAUCUGGGAAUAAAACGUUCCACGUGUGGGAUUUUGUAUGUAACAUAUGAAUAAGGAUCGGCUAACUCCGUGCCAGCAGCCGCGGUAAUACGGAGGAUCCGAGCGUUAACCGGAUUUAUUGGGUUUAAAGGGAGCGUAGGUGGAUUGUUAAGUCAGUUGUGAAAGUUUGCGGCUCAACCGUAAAAUUGCAGUUGAAACUGGCAGUCUUGAGUACAGUAGAGGUGUGCGGAAUGCGUGGUGUAGCGGUGAAAUGCUUAGAUAUCACGAAGAACUCCGAUUGCGAAGGCAGUUCACUGGACUGCAACUGACACUGAGGCUCGAAAGUGUGGGUAUCAAACAGGAUUAGAUACCCCUGUAGUC